This is a non-coding RNA of Vicia faba (fava bean), 192 nucleotides long. NCBI's taxonomy places the organism in Eukaryota, Viridiplantae, Streptophyta, Magnoliopsida, Fabales, Fabaceae. The record is from the annotation of a GenBank genome assembly.
AUGCCUUUGUCUGCUUUAAAAUCGAGCUUGGGAUUUUUUUUGCAACAGGUAACCAUUUUAGCUUUGCAACAUUUGAAUAUUAUGUUCAGAUUUGGAUUUGUCUUUGGAUAUGUGGGUAAAGUUGGAUUGAUUCUUUUCAUGUAUAAGCGAAGAAAUUUUUGUGAUGAUGAAUCAUUUUUAAACCAAGUUUAG